GUGGGGAAUAUUAGGCAAUGGGCGAAAGCCUGACCUAGCAACGCCGCGUGAAGGAAGAAGGCCUUCGGGUUGUAAACUUCUUUUAUGAGGGACGAAGGACGUGACGGUACCUCAUGAAUAAGCCACGGCUAACUACGUGCCAGCAGCCGCGGUAAUACGUAGGUGGCGAGCGUUGUCCGGAUUUACUGGGUGUAAAGGGCGCGUAGGCGGACUGGCAAGUCAGAUGUGAAAUACAGGGGCUCAACCCCUGAACUGCAUUUGAAACUGUUGGUCUUGAGUAUCGGAGAGGCAAGCGGAAUUCCUAGUGUAGCGGUGAAAUGCGUAGAUAUGCGGAGGAACACCGAUGGCGAAGGCAAUCCCCUGGGCCUGCACUGACGCUCAUGCACGAAAGCGUGGGGAGCAAACAGGAUUAGAUACCCUGGUAGUCC
Molecule: ribosomal RNA, 428 nt
Filed under: uncultured bacterium
Lineage: Bacteria
Description: partial 16S ribosomal RNA
Rfam family: Bacterial small subunit ribosomal RNA
Source: RNAcentral